Molecule: long non-coding RNA, 7162 nt
Organism: Hylaeus volcanicus
Lineage: Eukaryota; Metazoa; Arthropoda; Insecta; Hymenoptera; Colletidae
Exons: 3
Source: RefSeq, a predicted model, not a curated record
UUGUUCAGAUCACCCAACACAUUAAAAACACUAAGCUUUACAUACACCUAGCUGAGUUCAAUGGAAUUAUUUUUCAAAAUUAUGCAUAGCAUUAUUUUUUAAAUAUGUUCCCUGACGUGGUAAAUAUGUUCCUAGGUGUACGUAGCCCUUAAAUUUAUUUAUUGUGAUCGUUUAACGAGUUGAGUUUGAAGAUACAAACACGAAAUUUCCGAGAAGAACAUUCCGAAGUCGACUUUCACUGUUUCCAGGAAGAGAACACUCCUAGCGCUGAUCGGUGACGUUUGUAAACAACUGAUAUUUAGGUCGCUGGUGUUUACGUACUCAUUGUUAUAGGCGCGGCCGGGAGAGUUCCACACGGUGCUCCAAUUUUCCAGAAGUUACGGUUUUCAGUGACCGUUGAAUUCGACGUAAAAAGACAUUACCGAUACAGAAGGAGCUGCUGAUAAGGAUCACGGAGGCCUAAGAAUAGCGGUACUUUCCUUUUGCUCCACUGACAUCGCCCAACGCGUGCAGGGCGCUCGUGGAUAACGACACAGAUUUUGUUUUGACACCUCGCGCGUCAAGGAUUUGCAGCUUACGAGCUGCUCGACCAAAACAAUCCAAAAAGUCGGAGGGAAUUACGAAAUACUCCCAGAAACAACUCCUUCCGUAACGGAGAAAAUCGUCGAGUCACUCCUUGUCAAAUCUCUUCGGAAUCACGUCUCGAAUUUUGAUGAGACGUUACUUGUUCAAUGUUUAACGGGUCAAGUUAGUAUUACACUAUUGUAGGAGGCGUAAUAAUAUCAUAUAAAUCUAAACUCAUUCUAACAAAAGAAAUGAAUUAUACUCUUCCAAAUGUACACUAUUUAAUACAACAUAAAUCUUGUUUGGAGCAAAAGUGUACAUUUUGCAAUGACAUUGCUUCGAGUGCAAGGGGUUAAAAUAGAAUACUUUCAUACAAUUAUCUGCAUAUAAAAUAAUUAAGGUUCGGUGCAAAAAGUUUAUUAAACACUCCAAAAAUAGGCUGGUGUUGCUGGUUCGUUCUAACGAAAAUGUCGUCGCUCGCAGAGGGUUAAUAUUCAAACGGCACGAUGAGCCCAGCCUUUGAUACAACAAAAUAAAAGUUUCGUGGCGUCGCAAAAAGUUGUCGACCUUACUCGGUGUACAGGUGUAUUCAAAACCUUCUCCGUACGAAUUGUGGCUAAUGUCGAUAUGAAUAUGGAAUGUUCAAGGCCAAUCUUCUCGAAGCAGCCUCAAAGAAGCGCACGAAGUUUCUUAUAAUUUGGUGUCCAACACCGCGAUGAUAGCUUCGAAAAACUCGUUUCUGUUUCAAAUUUUUUAAAAUAUAUCCUUCUAAAAAUACGUUUAAAUCGAUGAAGAAUUCAGGAAGCUAUGGCAGUUAUCGCGGAGCAUGUCAAUAAGUACCUGGUGAGGAACUUUAAACGUGUUUUUCUAAAAUCCAUAUUUAUUAAGUUAUUUAGUUAUUAAUUUAUUCAUGAGUGAACUUCUGUUUUGUUGAUAUUCUUUCUUUUCAAAAAUACAAAAGUACAGUUACUCACAGACAGAUUAUGGAGGUUUACGCAAAUGCAUAUCUUACAUCCAUCUAUGCACUUUUAUUGUAGAAUGGAUGGAAAAUUUUAAGAUACCAUCGCCCACAUACAUACAUAUAUAUGUAUAUUAAUUUCAAUUUUACUAUACUUCCUAUACUAUAGAUAUUUUUCCUGCAGAAGUACAUAUUAUAUUUUACUUGCAUCAAAGUCAUAUUUUCAAGUUUCUUAGAUAUCUAUUCAGUAACAUGGCAUUCAGAAGUGAAUUAAAGAAAAAUAAAAUUUCUUCGAGCCAACGAACUCUCCAACCGAGCAGGUAUGAUUGUUCUUAACACUGCGUAGAAAUUCCAAGAGAUGUCGAGGAUGGAAUACCGUAAUUUUUCAUCGAGUUCUGGGAGACAACUGUUGUUCCGCUACUACGAAGAAUUCAAGCAAAACAUAACGGGAAAUCACGAAGACAAUGACGAAAUGUGGAGGCCAAAAGUUUAGGAAAAAAACCAGAAGACAAGCACGAUCGGUUUCGCGUGUAUGCUAAUCCUUUUCCGACAAAUCGUUGGAUCAACUUUGUUGUGGUGACCCGAUUUCGACAAGAUCCGUGACUCGUGCCAGGACGACAUUCACGAUGUCCUGAAUGACGAUCGAAUGGAACCACGCGCAGAUCAACAGUUUUCAUACCAGUCGUUUAUACAUUCUUCAUUCACGACAACAAUCAAAAUAAGAAAGAUUUACAAUACGCCACGUGAAAGUAAAGAAUCGUUAUUAUGAAAUUAAUGGGAGGUGAAAUUGACGAAAUAGUCCUUGAAAAGUACACCUAAAAAAGUGAUACAAAAUUCAAAGAGAAACUAAUCAGUUCAAUUUUUAUUGCAAACAGUUUGUUGACAACUGUGCUAAGCUGCUAAGAUUCAGUUUUAUAAUUUAUAACGAUGCUCGAGUAUAUUAGAGUGAUCUUCCAAAGGAAUUCGGUGCAACUAAUAGAAAAUACAGUUUUUUCCUCUAUUAAUUUAUUAAUUUUCUUAACUUUUUCCCAACACAACAGAAAUACUAUCCAUUUGAAAUGUAAUUACUGUCGUAAUCGUGUAGAAACAUUAGAUCAAGGCUACCACUAGUGCAGCUGGAAUUGUUAGGCAAACGUUGAAGACAGUUCUGUGAAACUCCGCGCGUGUGAAAUCGAUUGUUGACUGUUCAAGACACAGUAACGUCGACAGCAAUUUCAGCACGUAAGGUCGUAAGUGAUCCUUUCUAAGAAAACGGUUAUCGCGUUUGUAGCUGCAUAAAGUCGUAAGUCGCGAAGUAAGAGAAAUGGCAGUGAGAAAAGACGGGAAAGGACGCACGCUACAGCUGGUGGGGCUACAAAGGUGAUUCGCGUGUAUCUUUAUGUUUGAGCGAGUAAAAAAAAAAAAAAGAAUAAGAAAUUAAACCACACCGUGAUUCCACCCUCUGACACAAAUCUGUGUGAAACGAUAAUGCAGCUCAUUUUUCUACACUUUCUUUUACUCGGCCCACCAAAAUUGCCGACCCCUACGGUUGACCUUAGCCCAAAACCAAAGACAAAAAGGAUACUCCAAUUCUAGUUCCUCAAACAAAUGAAAUCCCUUCCGGGCAGGCACGUAGGUCACGAAGAAAGAGAAAUGGCAAGAGAUUCGAAAGAGAGGGUCUGCCACGAGCAAAAAGAGAGGCAAAAACAGCGGAACGGAGGAGUGGUGGGCAAAAGGUGAUCCACGUGUUUUGCAGAUUUUUCUCUGCGAUCGACUUUCAAAUCUGCUCAACCCGAUGCGCCGCAGAAUUUCGUCCAGGGGCCUAUUAGAAUGCGAAACGGGACGUCGAUUUGUGACCGUUUCCGCGUGAUUUCGGCGUACUGCUUCAACUUUCCAAACACGUUUUCCAGGAACCGCGUACUGGCCCGAAUCGAAUAACGAAACACGCAGUCAAACGCAACGACCGGGCGUUGCACUUUUUUUCGGUUUCGCGGCGAAUAAUCGAAUCGGUUAUUCCAGAAAAUACACAGGGUGGGUCCUGAUAAGAUCCAUUUUAACAUCGAAAGUGCCACUGGGUAUUUGAUUCGCGUAUUUCGAAUAUCUAUUAGCCCUUAACUUAGCCGCUUCUAACGUCUAUGGAUCGAAACUAUCGAAAGGGGUCUUCAUUUAAACUUUCACUUCUGAAAAGUAUAAUUUCGAUCUUCGACUGCCAUGAUUCUCAACUCACGGUUUACAAUUCAAGGGUGCAGGUGUCCAGGGCCGUUGAGAGUAUCUCGAUUGAAGCGUGUAUCAGAAGGCGAAAAGAAGAGAUGGGGCGGGGCCACAGCCAAGCCGUCAAAGAAAAGCGCAUUACAAUCGAUUCGUCAAACUGGAAUGGAACAGGCCGAGUCUGCGAUAAUGAAAUAGACGAAGAGGAAAGUCGAAACAGCUACGAGUAAUAGAUACAAGAAGGAUAAUAGUAUGCGGGAUUCGCCUGAAUAAAAUGCAGAAUCCUUCCUUCUAAGGGCGAGGUCACCGUGACGGGCUUAUCGUUGCUCGCAUAGUCGGCCGUCUUGCUGGUGGGGGUCCAUGCGGCAGCGCAGGAAGUGAUAUACAUAUGUUAUUCAAAUUUAUGGAAAACCCGCAGCCGAUGCAAUUUAUAGUUGCCUAUAUCGCGGUGGAAUCAGUGAAAAACUAUAAACAAUAAACGAAUCGGAAGUCUCGGGGACACGGUGCAAUCUCGUCGUCUCCUCGUUCCGUAUCAAUUAUUUAUGAAUUUUCCACGACGCGAUAACGUGUGGCUCUCAUAAAAGAAACACUGCAGACUUUUCCGACUGGCGAUCCUCUUCACUCGACCAACUUUUCACGUUAAGAACGUUUUCUAUUUAGACUUAGCCACCGUGCUGGUUGCAGCGUGGCUGUUCAUUUCCUUCAAGAAUUAGUCAACUAAAAUUUUCCUUAUUUUGUCUAGCAACAGAAUUUCAUUCGAUAAAGUGAAGUGUAUAAAUUGUGUGGUUGAUUUACGUUUACAUAAAAAUAAGAUCCGCUCGAAACCAUUCCAUCGAGAAAAAAACUGACUCUAAAAUUCCGGUUUUCAUUCAUACGAUAACAAUUUUAUGCUCGAAAUAAACAUGUCACUGUUAAUUGGAUGUAGAAUCAAAGUAAACAAAAGUUUCUUCUUAAAAUAAUCCAAUUUUUUCGUCAAAUAUUAUUUCAUAAUUUUAGAAUGUACAUAUUCGUCAUUUUUCAUUUGCAAAUUCAGAAAAUCAUGAGAUGGAAUAUACUAGUUCCACUGUCACGUUGAACAGUUCAUUUAUGUAUACUUUUCCAAUGACAAUUUGGACGUGGCUAUCCUCGUCUGUCGCGUUUAUAUUCAACAUUUCUUUCAUACGGAAAUAUGUAUUGGUACCGUUAGAGAGUUCCUGUUGACUUUCCUCGUACACAGUGAUUCACCAAACAUUUUCUGCGCCGUGUUAGCGAACGUUAUGCAACAUCGUGCAGGCAGCAGCCGACCGAUUUCUUCUUACCCCCGGCUAUCGGAUCGUGUUGUGUUUUUCCUCUCACUUCUGCCUACUCGAUGGCUGACUAACUUUGUAGCAUUCCGUUACAAAGUUGCUCGAGGUUGCGUGAAACGUUUCCAACGAGCAGACUUGCCGACCGAUUGAUCAGCCUCGAUAAGAAAUUACAUGUACACUCGCGCCCGGUAUUUAAGGGGGCUGGACAGUCAAAUUGCUUCGAAAUAAACUCUUCUUUUGGAAUUAAUUUCCAAGUAAAUGAAUGCGAGUCUUGACCUCUCCUCUUGCGUAAUGUUUAUAUGUAUCUCAAAGAAAAUACUUAAUCCGGUUCAUAAUAACUGGACGAAUAAAUAUUUUAUAGUUAAAAUCAUUUACAACUGUUACUGUCUAUAAGAAAACUUGCUCUGUUGUUAAUGUGGAACAUUCUGCCGAUAAACCCUUCGAUCAAUUGGGGUUCUAUAUUACCGAGUUUUAUCGACAGAAUAAAUUAUUCUCCAUUAGAACAUGUAUCUGAACAUGCUAGGGAUCUGACGCUAUCGACUGUGCUACACUGUGAGUGUUGCAACAAGUUCUCACAACGUAGUCGGUAAAUACCUUCUGAAGCAGCAACCUUAUCUUCUAAGCUGGGAAAUCUUAGAAACCAUAUAAUUGUUUCCAACAUUUUCAUCUGUACCACCGUGCCAAAGUUCCUUUAAAUAUCUAACUCAUCGUGGAUGUCUUUCGGUGAGUAUACCAGCGUCUCUUACCGAUACGUUUUACCAGAAUGUAAUCAUACGCGAAAUGUUGAUUCCUUCUAAGCUACGAAUGCGUUUCGACACGUAUAGCUUCCCUUGGCCUACAAAGUAGACGAAUUUCGUUGCGGAUGACACGUUGUCAUAGGUCGGCUGAUCGUUCAUUAUACUUGCUGAUAUCGCUGGUCUGGUCGUGAUCCGAUGUCCGUGGAUGUUUGAUAAUUUAUACAAAAUUGCGCCAUGCCCUUUGAAUGAUGACAGGGUUAAGUUGUCAUAGGUCAGCCGACGGCUGAUUAUACUUGCUAAUUGCCGUAUUUCUUUUUCUGUUCAUCAUGGCCCGCCAGACCGAUACUCGAUAUAGUUGUCCGAGGAGCGCGUGUGCGACACCGAGCUUUUCGAUUACCCGUGAAAUUUCCCAUGUAACUUGGUUGCACAAGAUCGAAGGCGAAAGGGAACGGCUCACUUCGAUCGAGGUAUCUCGCAUGGGCGAAGACUUGACGGAAUUGCUUAAUUCGUCGUUGCAAAAUCGAUAACUGGGGUGGGGACACCUAGUGCUUUACCAUGCUCGGACUCGAUUACUGUUGCUGCUGGGAAAAGAAGCUGGGUACACGUCAAAUAAUCAGCUGACGGAGGACAUUACACUUUAAAAUGUGCCGGUACUCUGGCGGACUUACAAUCGAGGAUGAACCACGGUGGCUCUUUAAAUCAACGAAUUUCGUGCGGCCAGGAGUUCCGCACGGUCGAUCGCGGAUUCAAACUACAUAUAUUCAAAUGCGGUUCCGCCUCCUACACUCUAGCCGCGUGAUCCCUAAUUCUCAAGCAGAAGAAGCUGCCCACCCACGGCUACUUUGCGUUACAAUAGGCACCAGGCGAGACAAAAGCCAAGCUGGAGGAGGAAAGCACGACUCGUCAAUUACAUAAUGCAUUCGAAUCGUGAUCCAUGCGAGCGGCUCGAUCGUGCGUUCGUCUCGAUCAAUGUACUGGCACCCGAAAGGAGAAUCGUGGUGUGCGUGAUGGGCGAUCCUCGAGGUCACGGUCACCAAGCGUCUCGCGGGGAACGAAUUAAAUCAUGCUCAAAAAUCUCAGCUGGUGCCUCUUGUCAUGCGUUCCUGGUACUCCUUUAUUUUUGGAAAAAUUGUUUUAUAAUUGAAUAGAACGUUCAAUCAUUUGGAAAACUGUUCAAGUCUGUAAGAGUAUGUAUUUUCGUCCUUUCCAAUCGUUUGACAUGCAAAAAUCGAUAGAAUUUCCGAAGGACCCCUAAAGAAGCUGAUCAUCGAAAUCAAGGUCACGAGAUACUCAUCGAGAAGUAAAUUUAUCUUCCCACUUGAAAUUCUAAUCUCUCUUGCCUUUUAAUCCACCUAGUUCCCCCUACGGGUACUUCAAUAAUUCAUCGGCAGCAUGGUGACAAAUUAUUUGUCCGUGACUUCACGCGCUAA